GCACAAGCGGUGGAGCAUGUGGUUUAAUUCGACGCAACGCGAAGAACCUUACCAGGGCUUGACAUCCCCUGACCGCGUAUGAAAGUACGUUUUCACCCUCGGGUGACAGGGAGACAGGUGGUGCAUGGUUGUCGUCAGCUCGUGUCGUGAGAUGUUGGGUUAAGUCCCGCAACGAGCGCAACCCCUACGUUUAGUUGCUAACGCGUGAAGGCGAGCACUCUAGACGAACUGCCGUUGACAAAACGGAGGAAGGUGGGGAUGACGUCAAAUCAUCAUGCCCCUUAUGUUCUGGGCUACACACGUGCUACAAUGGCCGGUACAGACGGACGCAAAGCCGCGAGGUGGAGCAAAUCCUAAAAAGCCGGUCUCAGUUCGGAUUGCAGGCUGCAAUUCGCCUGCAUGAAGUCGGAAUCGCUAGUAAUCGCAGGUCAGCAUACUGCGGUGAAUACGUUCCCGGGCCUU
This 462-nucleotide ribosomal RNA is filed under the name uncultured Pelotomaculum sp. RNAcentral's name for it is "bacterial SSU rRNA". It matches the Rfam family "Bacterial small subunit ribosomal RNA", at positions 923 to 1382 of the family's 1533-position model. The record is from RNAcentral. Lineage: Bacteria; Bacillati; Bacillota; Clostridia; Eubacteriales; Desulfotomaculaceae.